UGUCUAUUUAUGGGACAAUGAGUGAACCAUCACACCACCUUCAGGACAAUGAGCUGCUGUGUGGAGUUACCAGCUGAAAGUAACAAGAAAAUUACCGAAAUGAUGUUCUUGUGCACAGUCAUCUUCUAUACCAUAGACCUAGAAUAACUUUAUCACUCAAAACUGAGGAAGAUGCAAUCGGGGAAAAUAUUCCAUGAGGGCACUUUGAUUUUUCUUUACAACACACUACCAAAUUACGUGACGCGCCCAUCGCGCAGGAAGCUUCUCGCAGGCUGUGGAGAGCAGCCUGCCUGCUUUGAGAAGAGUAGAUCUAUCAGGAUCCAGAGUCGGGCUCUGAAAAAGCUGUCAUGUCACGUCUCUAAAACAGCCUCUGAUUUAAUGUACAAGAUGUCAAGAAGUAAAGGACAAUAAAAUAAAAGCCAAAAAGGAGAACUAUUUCAAUUAAGAGGCAUUUCUGUACCAAUUCUUGGAAAUCUAGUAAAAUAAAA
Molecule: long non-coding RNA, 488 nt
Organism: Lutra lutra (Eurasian river otter)
Lineage: Eukaryota; Metazoa; Chordata; Mammalia; Carnivora; Mustelidae
Exons: 3
Source: RefSeq, a predicted model, not a curated record